UACGUAGGGUGCAGGCGUUAAUCGGAAUUACUGGGCGUAAAGCGUGCGCAGGCGGUUUCUUAAGUCAGAUGUGAAAGCCCCGGGCUUAACCUGGGAAUGGCAUUGGAAACUGGCGAGCUGGAGUGUGGCAGAGGGGGGUGGAAUUCCGCGUGUAGCAGUGAAAUGCGUAGAGAUGCGGAGGAACACCGAUGGCGAAGGCAGCCCCCUGGGCCAACACUGACGCUCAGGCACGAAAGCGUGGGGAGCAAACAGG
Molecule: ribosomal RNA, 253 nt
Filed under: uncultured bacterium
Lineage: Bacteria
Description: partial 16S ribosomal RNA
Rfam family: Bacterial small subunit ribosomal RNA
Source: RNAcentral